CAGAGGGGGCAAGCGUUGUUCGGAAUUACUGGGCGUAAAGGGCGCGUAGGCGGCCUGUUAAGUCGAACGUGAAAUCCCCGGGCUCAACCCGGGAACUGCGUCCGAUACUGGCAGGCUUGAAUCCGGGAGAGGGAUGUGGAAUUCCAGGUGUAGCGGUGAAAUGCGUAGAUAUCUGGAGGAACACCGGUGGCGAAGGCGGCAUCCUGGACCGGUAUUGACGCUGAGGCGCGAAGGCCAGGGGAGCAAACGGGAUUAGAUACCCCGGUAGUCCUGGCCCUAAACGAUGAAUGCUUGGUGUGGCGGGUAUCGAUCCCUGCCGUGCCGAAGCUAACGCAUUAAGCAUUCCGCCUGGGGAGUACGGUCGCAAGGCUG
Molecule: ribosomal RNA, 372 nt
Filed under: uncultured organism
Description: bacterial SSU rRNA
Rfam family: Bacterial small subunit ribosomal RNA
Source: RNAcentral